GGGGCGGGGGCCGCGGGGCGCGGGGGGCGCGGGGGGCGCGGGGGCCCGGGCGCGGCGCUCCCGGGAGGGUCCUGGCGGAGGCCGCGGCGGGCGGGCGGGCGGGCGCGGGCUCCGGGAGAGGCGGGCGGGAUCGCCGGGCGAGAGGAGGGGACGCGGCGCAUUCGUGUCGCCGAGCGCGGCAGGCGCGGGCGCGCGGAGCUAAUUGCGACUCUAAUCCUCUGCCCCGCGGCGCAGCCGAGCCCCGAGCCAGGAGUCGCCGCGCGCUCCCGCUCGCGCCCGCCGCGCCGGCAACUGGAGCCGGUCGCUGCCCUCGCGUCCGGGCUCGGCCGCCGCGGGGCGCGCGCCACGGCCCGGGGCGGGGGGCUGGCUCUCUCGCCAGCCAUCCAGGAAGGCCGCUGGAGGGAGAGGAGGAGGAGAGGCGGCGGGAGCGGCGGGAGGGCGGCCGGAGCGCGGCGCGAGGAGGAGGCGGCGGCGGCGGCGGCGGCGGCGGCGAGGAGGGAGGAGGCGAGGGGAGGGCGGGGAGGGGAGGCCCCGGCGCGCCGCGCCGCGAGGGGCCGCGCGAAGCGGGGGCCGGGGCGGGAGGGGUGGGUGGGGGGAGGGUUGGGGGCGAGAGAGAAAGUAACUCCAGGACGAGACCGGAGCGACCCGCGCGGCGAGCACAGGCGGCGAGGCUGCGCCCGAGACCGGCGGCUGCGGGGGGCGGGGGCUGCGCCCGGGCCCGGGCCCGAGCCCGAUCCGCCGCUCCGGCUCCGAGGUAAGCCCCGCGCGGGCCGCCCCCGCCCGGCGCCGCGCACCCCUGUCCCCAAAGUGGCGGCGACGCCGCGAAAGUCGCUCGCCCGGGGUUUGCACCUGGGUGGGGGCGGCCGCUUUGUCCGGGGGCCGGGCGGCGGGGGCCGGCGGCGCGGGGGCACCCGGCACAAAGGCCUGGCGCGGGAGGGGGCUGCCCACGUGGGCUGGCCCGGGCCCCGGCGGACCCUCCCCACGCGGGCGGGCGCCGAGCUCCUGCCGCGCGGGGCGGGGUGUGCGUGUGCGUGUGUGUGUGUGUGUGUGUGUGUGCGCGCGCGGCGGGGGGGGUUGCAGGUCCGGGCGCUCGGGCCUCAGUGCAGAGCCGAGCGCCCUGCAGGGCCAGCGAGUUUCCGGGGUCAGAACCGGGCUCACGCCGCUGGGGCUUCGGGGCGCACAGGGCCCGGCUUGGCGCCCAAAUCGGAAAAAGUCUCUAACGGGACAGACGUGCGUCCUCGGACGCCCACCCGGCGAGUCCGAGCGGGGCGGGAGGGGCCGGGGAGCUGGUGGUGGCCCCGGGCGCGCGGGGGGCGGGGGGCCGCUGGGCCGCGCCGGGGCUGCCCUGCCCGCGGGGACCCCCUGACCCGGGCGCGCGCGCGGGGCGCACACCGGCGGACGCCCCUCUCCCGUGGCCCAAACGCCUUUCCGCCCUCCCGCGCCCCCCACCUCGACUGCAGAAAGAUGAGCUUCAAGUUUUCACUCCGUGUCUCAAAUGUGCACGAAGGAAUUUAA
This 1515-nucleotide long non-coding RNA is filed under the name Canis lupus dingo (dingo). RNAcentral's name for it is "lncRNA (ENSCAFG00020019660.1)". Lineage: Eukaryota; Metazoa; Chordata; Mammalia; Carnivora; Canidae. The record is from RNAcentral.